RNAcentral lists this long non-coding RNA (1171 nucleotides) under Canis lupus familiaris (dog). Its description in RNAcentral is "lncRNA (ENSCAFG00030014844.1)". Lineage: Eukaryota; Metazoa; Chordata; Mammalia; Carnivora; Canidae. The record is from RNAcentral.
GACGAGCAGAGCGCUGGGGGGGUGGGGAGUGUCGGAUCCCGCGCCCGCACGGCUGAGCUUCGGGUGGAGGCAGAGCGACGGCAGCGGGCGCCUGCGGCUGGGGCUGGGGCUGGGGCUGGGGCUGGGGCUGGGGCUGCGGCUGGGGCUGGGGCUGGGGCUGGGGCUGGGCAGGAGGACGGAGGUCCGCUGCUGAGCUCCGCUGCUGAGCUCCGCUGCUGAGCUGCCCUGCUGAACUCUGACCUUCAGUUGCCUCGGGGCACCUCUCAUGGCCCCCAUUCCAGGUCUCCCGGGUUGCAAUUCAGGCUGUGAAGAAAAUGAUUUGUUUUCUGGCGAACGGGUCUUUUCUCAAAUUUUGGCGUCCGCAUUUUUGAACAUCAUGAUCCUUCUUUUCUUCUACAUCUGCUCUCCCCAACCUUCUGAGGAUGCUUCUACCUUGUAUACUGUUUUCCUUAACUUUGGUUCGGUAAGUCCUUCUCUAGAUAAGCAUGCAUACUGUAUAGCUGUAUUUCAAAAUACAUUCAACAAAACCAAUUCUAUUUCAUAAAAGCUAUAGGAUGAGUAGUACUUGUUUCUUUCCAUUUAUUUUCGGUAAUUUUGUGUUUACAGAAAUCUGCAUUAUAAUAGUGAUAGAAUAAAAUAUAAUAAUCUAUGUGUUUUAGAUAGGAAGCACUCCUAAAUUCAUCUGUCUUUUUGUUGGUAUAUCCCACCUCUGGGAAAGUCCAGAUGAUUAGGGAAAAAAUUUCAAAUAACUUUUUAUAUCUUAAGAAUAUAAGUCCCUUCAUGUAGUAGUUGUUUUAACUUUACCAAUAAACAGAACUGAGUGCCCCUUUAAUGCCAAAUACUCUAAGAGGUGUUGCAGGAACCCAUUAAAGGAAAUACUGGGACUUUAAAUAACUUCUGGAAAUGAAAACACAGAACUAUUUUACUCUAAACAAAAUGAAACAUAAUUAAUUGAGGGAAAUUAAUAUUAACAAAAUGGUAAUUGACAAAGGAUCCUGGAGAGUACUAGUGUAGUGGUUAAACUUAAAACAUAUUGAAAAGAUAAAAUAAUAUGAAUGUAUUAUUUCUUUACUACAAUAUAGGAUAUUAAUAUUGGAGGUACCUAAUAAAGUAUGAAUUCUAAAGAUUUAAGCCAAUUUGUAUAAAAUAGACUGUCUUCUAAACUUCUGUA